AUUUAUAUAGUUUAUUUAAAACUUUACAUUUUCAUUGUAAAAAUAAAAUUAUAAUUUUUAUAAAUA
This 66-nucleotide transfer RNA is filed under the name Erionota torus (palm redeye). Its description in RNAcentral is "tRNA-Glu". Lineage: Eukaryota; Metazoa; Arthropoda; Insecta; Lepidoptera; Hesperiidae. The record is from RNAcentral.